CCCGACGUCGACGCUACCAUGCAAGUCGAGCGGAUGCCGGGGUCUUGUACCUGGUGGCGAGCGGCGCGACGGGUGAGAUAUGCCUAAGACUCUGCCUGGUAGUGGGGGAUCACGCUCGGAAACGGACGCUAAUCCCGUAUACGUCCUAGGGGAGAAAGCGGGGGACCUUCGGGUCUUGCGCUAUCAGAUGACCCUAGGUCGGAUUAUCUAGUUGGAGAGGUAGUGUCUCACCAGGGCGACUAUCCGUAUGUGGUCUGAGAGGAUGAUCACUCACUCUGGAUCUGACACACGGUCCACACUCCCACGGGGGGCCACAGUGGGGAAUAUUGCACAAUGGGCAAAAGCCUGAUCCCCCCGUGCCGCGUGUGAGAAGAGGGUCUUCAGAUUGUAACGCUCUUUAUGUUGGGAGGAGGGGCAAUCCCCUAAUGCGUAUGUGUUGUGACGAUACCCACAAAAUAAGCCCGGGAUAACUCUGUGCCCGCACGCGCGGAUAUACAGAGGGUGAAAGCGUCUUUCAAAAUUUCUGGGCGAAAAGCGCCCGCAGGCGGUUUGUUAACUUAUAUGAAAACCCCCCGGGCUCCUUGUGGGAAGUGUUUAUAGCAUUUGAUCAUCUAAAACUUUGGAAAAGGGGGGGGGUAUUUUUCUUGUGUCGGCGGCCAAACCGCCGCCCAUCUGAGGAGGGAACCCCUCGGGGACAAAAGCCCCCCCCCGGGGAGUGGAUUCUGACCCUGGGGGGGGAAAAAACGGGGGGGGACAAACGGGGAUUAUAAUCCCCCGGGGAUCCCCCCGCCGGUAAAGGAUGUCAACUAACCCGUUGGGAGCCUGGAGCUCUUAGUGGCGCAGCUAACGCAUUAAGUUGACCGCCUGGGGAGUACGGCGGCAGGGUUAAAACUCAAAGAAAUUGGCGGGGGCCGGCACAAGCGGUGGAGCAUGUGGUUUAAUUCGAAGCAACGCGAAGAACCUUCCCAGGCCUGGACAUCCAAUGAACUUUCCAGAGAGGGAUGGGUGCCUUCGGGAACAUUGAGACAGGUGCUGCAUGGCUGUCGUCAGCUCGUGUCGUGAGAUGUUGGGUUAAGUCCCGUAACGAGCGCAACCCUUGUCCUUAGUUACCAGCACGUCAUGGUGGGCACUCUAAGGAGACUGCCGGUGACAAACCGGAGGAAGGUGGGGAUGACGUCAAGUCAUCAUGGCCCUUACGGCCUGGGCUACACACGUGCUACAAUGGUCGGUACAGAGGGUUGCCAAGCCGCGAGGUGGAGCUAAUCCCAGAAAACCGAUCGUAGUCCGGAUCGCAGUCUGCAACUCGACUGCGUGAAGUCGGAAUCGCUAGUAAUCGCGAAUCAGAAUGUCGCGGUGAAUACGUUCCCGGGCCUUGUACACACCGCCCGUCACACCAUGGGAGUGGGUUGCACCAGAAGUAGCUAGUCUAACCUUCGGGAGGACGGUUACCACGGUGUAUUCAUANCUGGCGUAAGUCUACACGAGCGAGCUGAA
This 1494-nucleotide ribosomal RNA is filed under the name bacterium THCL11. RNAcentral's name for it is "partial 16S ribosomal RNA". It matches the Rfam family "Bacterial small subunit ribosomal RNA". The record is from RNAcentral.